GAAAUGCGAUAAGUAGUGUGAAUUGCAGAAUUCAGUGAAUCAUCGAAUCUUUGAACGCACAUUGCGCCCCUUGGUAUUCCAUGGGGCAUGCCUGUUCGAGCGUCAUUUGUACCCUCAAGCUCUGCUUGGUGUUGGGUGUUUGUCCCGUCUCCGCGCGUGGACUCGCCCCAAAGUGAUUGGCAGCCGGCGUACUGGUCCCGGAGCGCAGCACAUGUCGCGCAAACGAGUGCCUUGGUACGGCGGCGUCCAUAAGCCCCUCUCUCACGCUCUGACCUCGGAUCAGGUAGGGAUACCCGCUGAACUUAAGC
RNAcentral lists this unclassified non-coding RNA (308 nucleotides) under plant metagenome. RNAcentral describes it as "partial contains 5.8S ribosomal RNA, internal transcribed spacer 2, and large subunit ribosomal RNA". The stretch from base 1 to 105 matches the Rfam family "5.8S ribosomal RNA", at positions 50 to 154 of the family's 154-position model. The record is from RNAcentral.